RNAcentral lists this ribosomal RNA (505 nucleotides) under uncultured bacterium. Its description in RNAcentral is "partial 16S ribosomal RNA". It matches the Rfam family "Bacterial small subunit ribosomal RNA", at positions 28 to 507 of the family's 1533-position model. The record is from RNAcentral.
GACGAACGCUGGCGGCGUGCCUAAUACAUGCAAGUAGAACGCACAGUUUAUACCGUAGCUUGCUACACCAUAAACUGUGAGUUGCGAACGGGUGAGUAACGCGUAGGUAACCUGCCUGGUAGCGGGGGAUAACUAUUGGAAACGAUAGCUAAUACCGCAUAAUAUUAAUUAUUGCAUGAUAAUUGAUUGAAAGAUGCAAUUGCAUCACUACCAGAUGGACCUGCGUUGUAUUAGCUAGUAGGUGAGGUAACGGCUCACCUAGGCGACGAUACAUAGCCGACCUGAGAGGGUGAUCGGCCACACUGGGACUGAGACACGGCCCAGACUCCUACGGGAGGCAGCAGUAGGGAAUCUUCGGCAAUGGACGAAAGUCUGACCGAGCAACGCCGCGUGAGUGAAGAAGGUUUUCGGAUCGUAAAGCUCUGUUGUAAGAGAAGAACGGGUGUGGGAGUGGAAAGUUCACACUGUGACGGUAUCUUACCAGAAAGGGACGGCUAACUACGUG